UGCCGGUCGCAUUUCCUCGUUAAUUCGGGAAAGCCCGGCCGCACUCCAGGGGCGCUGAUUCCGCAUUGUCGGGGCGGCGCACCGAGAGCGCACACGUUGGGACCCGAAAGAUGGUGAACUAUGCUUGGCAAGGGCGAAGCCAGAGGAAACUCUGGUGGAGGUCCGUUUCGAUUCUGACGUGCAAAUCGAUCGUCAGAGCUGGGUAUAGGGGCGAAAGACUAAUCGAACCAUCUAGUAGCUGGUUCCUCCCGAAGUUUCCCUCAGGAUAGCUGGCGCUCGUGGGAAGAGUCUCAUCCGGUAAAGCGAAUGAUUAGAGGCCUUGGGGCCGAAAUGACCUCAACCUAUUCUCAAACUUUCAAUGGGGUGAGAAGCUGGGCUUGCUUGAUUUGAAGUUCCGGCAGUAUAUUGGAUCUGUAGAGUGCCCAGUGGGCCACUUUUGGUAAGCAGAACUGGCGCUGUGGGAUGAACCAAACGUUGGGUUAAGGCGCCCGACAAGACGCAAAUCUGAUCCCAUGAAGGGUGUCGGUUGCUCCAGACAGCAGGACGGUGGCCAUGGAAGUCGGAAUCC
This 568-nucleotide ribosomal RNA is filed under the name Bairdiidae sp. 4 AMGE-2015. RNAcentral describes it as "eukaryotic LSU rRNA". It matches the Rfam family "Eukaryotic large subunit ribosomal RNA", at positions 727 to 1269 of the family's 3401-position model. Lineage: Eukaryota; Metazoa; Arthropoda; Ostracoda; Podocopida; Bairdiidae. The record is from RNAcentral.